CCCCCCCAGCGCGGCGGCGGGCGGGCGGCUCUCCGGUGCCGCGGGCGGGGGCUCAGCCGGCGCGGCCGCUUGUUGAUCGCGGCGCCCGGCGCCGCUCCGCGCUUCCCGGGCCCCGCUCCGCGCCACGCAGGCAGCCCCCGCGCCCGGGCUUGCCGCUGCGCUGCGGCGCCGCUUGCAUUCUUCCAUUGCAACAGUACAAACCCCUCCUUUUUUUUUUUUUUCCCCGUCUCUCUCUCCCUUUCUUUCCUUUUUUUUUUUUUUUUUUUUUUUUUUUGCAUGAAGAUGGCGGCGCCUCUCGCCAGCAAGGCAGGGUCUGCCGGCACCAACAGCAAGCCUGCCUUCCCGGAGCUGGAUUUCCGAUCGGGAGCCAGGGUGGAGGAAUUGAAUAAACUCAUCCAGGAAUUCACCAAGCACGACCAGAGGGAGUACGACGACCAGCGAGCCCUGGAGAUCCACACGGCGAAGGACUUCAUCUUCUCCAUGCUGGGCAUGGUUCAGAAACUUGACCAGAAGCUGCCUGUAGCCAACGAGUACCUGCUGCUUUCAGGUGGUGUGCGGGAAGGUGUGGUGGACAUUGAUCUUGAUGAGCUGAAUGUUUAUGCACGAGGCACAGACUAUGACAUGGACUUCACCCUGCUUGUGCCUGCACUGAAGCUGCAUGACCGCAACCAACCAGUCACACUGGACAUGCGCCACUCAGCUUUGUGCCACUCUUGGCUGAGCCUGCGUCUGUUCGAUGAAGGAACUAUCAGCAAAUGGAAGGACUGCUGCACGAUCGUGGACCAUAUCAACGGAGCUACUAAUUAUUUCUUCUCUCCGACAAAAGUUGCAGACUGGUUCUAUGACUCCAUUAGCAUUGUCCUCUCCGAGAUCCAGAAAAAGCCUCAGCGAGGGAUGCCAAAGGUGGAGAAGGUAGAAAAGAAUGGGACUAUCAUAUCCAUCAUUUUGGGAGUGGGCAGCAGCCGCAUGCUGUACGACAUUGUCCCUGUGGUGUCCUUCAAAGGUUGGCCAGCUGUAGCCCAGAGCUGGCUGAUGGAAAACCACUUCUGGGAUGGGAAGAUCACAGAGGAGGAAGUUAUAAGUGGGUUUUACUUAGUGCCUGCAUGCUCCUACAAGGGGAAGAAGGACAAUGAAUGGAGGCUGUCAUUUGCCAGAAGUGAAGUGCAGCUGAAAAAGUGCAUCUCCAGCAGCCUCAUGCAAGCCUAUCAGGCCUGCAAAGCUAUCAUCAUCAAAUUGCUGUCCCGCCCCAAAGCCAUUAGUCCAUAUCACUUGCGGAGCAUGAUGCUGUGGGCUUGCGACAGGUUACCUGCCAACUACUUGGCCCAGGAGGAUUACGCAGCCCAUUUUCUCCUGGGUCUCAUUGAUGAUCUCCAGCACUGCUUGGUCAACAAGAUGUGCCCUAACUAUUUCAUCCCCCAGUGCAACAUGCUGGAGCAUCUCUCUGAAGAAACGGUCAUGCUGCAUGCGCGGAAGCUGUCCUCAGUCCGCUCAGACCCUGCCGAACACCUUCGAACUGCCAUCGAACAUGUCAAAGCAGCCAACCGGCUAACACUAGAGCUCCAGCGGCGGGGCAGCACCACCAGCAUCCCCUCCCCACAGUCAGAUGGAGGGGACACCAACCAGCCUGAUGAUCGAUUAGCCAAAAAGUUGCAACAGUUAGUGACUGAGAACCCCGGGAAGUCCAUCUCUGUCUUCAUUAACCCAGAUGAUGUCACAAGGCCCCACUUCAGAAUUGAUGAUAAAUUUUUCUGAGCUUUCAUCAAUAUUUCUUGGGAUUUUUUUCUUUUGUUUCAUUUUUAAAAACUCUUGCAGUGUGCAGGUUUUUUUGUUUGGUUUUCCCAGAUGACCUAGUCUCUUGUUUUUUACAUAUCCAGCGUAGAUUGGAUCUGUUGAGAACAAUCUGAAUAAAUUAUAAUUCCUGGUUCUGCAGGACGGUGCAGAUUUUGAAACAGUAUAUUACUAUUUCAUAUGCUGCUUUGAUUUUUUUUCACCCACCCAGCCCCAUUGUCUGUGAGUAGUUUCUAAAGGAGAACAUGCACCGUAAACACACAUGCCACAGUGUAAUGGAGAUUUUUUUGUCAAGCUUCUAUAAUUUAUGUACAUUUUUGGGCCUGGGGAAGGGACAACUCACCUUCCAUUGCUUCAGAAAUUCACUUCUUUUUCCACGAGCUUCCAUCACCCUAAAGAAAUGAGGAGAGACUCUGGGUUGGAAAGCACUACUGGUAAUUUUGACGAGGCCAAAUCUAUUGGGCUGAAGCCCAGUUCAUCUGUUCUUCACACUUCUCACACUAGGGGAGAAAGUUGACUUCAAAGAGGAUGAUGCAGCUUUUGGGAGAAAUAGUUGUUUCUGUUUUGAUCUACUUUUUGAAUGUAAUUGUUCAUAAUUGGACCUUGUACAGUCCAGAGGGUUGUUUCUGCUGCUUUUCCAUGCGGAAUAAGGUUAUGGAAUGUUAGUUUUAGUGUGUGUAAUUAUUCAAAGCCUUAUUUAAAUUCUAUUAAAGAACAUACCAUUAUAAAUGUGUUAAUUGCACUAAUGAAAUCUCUGCCAUUACCUCAGUCCCACUGUUUGUGUUUCUUUCAUGAAAUAGCAUCUAUUAUUAGGUCUCAGUAUUGCAGAUUGCUUGAGGCCCCUUGGGUCUCAUGGUUUCAGGUGAUUUCUUGAUUGUCUUUUGUAAAAGGCUCUUCCUUGUUAGCCCUGCUAUGUGUGAGAAGUCAGAUUUUUGCAUUGGCAUAUUUCUUUGGAUGCGUAUUGUGUGUUGCAGUGCAUAUUGCAUUAAUAUGUAUUGCAUGUUGUUGAAACAGGUUUACCAUUAGAUAAGGAUGUAAUGCUAAAGCAGUGGUAUGUGCAAAGUGAAUCAGCCAGACCUCGAGCAAAGGAGCUACCUUGCUUCUGUAAUGCAUGUAUUAGGCCUGAUCCUUUAUGGCAGUUACCAUUCCCUUGACUCCUGUGGACUUUCUGACUUACCCUGGGACAUAUGAGAUCUUACUUUGGUCUCAUGUUUGCAGAAGUUGUGUUUGUAUGUAAACUUGUGGUGCAACAGUAGCCUUGAAAAACACAUACGCUUUCCUUUUGUGUGUAGGAUAAGAUGUAUGGUAACAAGGGUUAGUCUGAGCCAAAAAUAAUUCCAAGAGUUCAAGGAUAGAGUGGCUUUUUGUGGCUGGCUGGCCAGUGACUGAUAUUUAGGCCUUAAAUCAGCAAUUUGGGCUUACUGAUUAUCCCAGAGAAGCUGUUCUGAUCCAAACUUGAUGCAUGUUUUAAAAUGUGAUUAUUAGAGCAGGUUGAAGUAUUUUUAAAAUAUUUGCCAGACAAAUGAGGCGCAUAUCUAGUAAAUUCUAACAGAUAAAAAUUGUGUAUGAAAAAUGUGUCACUUUUUUAGCCCAGCCUUUCUGGUAAAGAAACCGGGCUGGUGGAGCAACACACCAGCAGCUUUGGAAACUGCUUUGGUAGAUGGCAAGGAGGUUUCAAUACCUGAUCUAGUGCCCAAGUCAUGUCUUAAAACAAAACUUUGGCUCCUCCAUCUCUUGGGCAUAUUUGAAAACUUCACCCCAUUGCUGUAGCCAAGAUGUUCACAUUUACCUGAAUUUACUGGUACACACUUACACGAGCCUGAAGAAGCUCUCAGAAGUUGCUGGCUAGGUGGAGUGGAUGAGGAUUUAAUUUAAAGCACAAUUGGCUAGUGAUCGUGAGCCCCGGUGCAGCUGCGGUUAUGGUCCGGGGAAGGACAUGUAUUGACUUCAGUGGAAGCAGAACUGGGUCCUACCAGUGUGGCUAUUGCCAAAGAUGAGUCUCCAUUUAAACCAGUGUAACCUGCCAGGGGAGGCAGGAGAACCAACUGGGAAUCCUCUCCAGAAGUGCUUGGAAAAUGCAGAUUCAUUGAAAUGGUCUUUUCCCCAGUCUCCGGGACUUCUGCCUGUUCGAAAAAGAGUCUGGGCUCCAGGAUGAAGUUUCCCAUCACCACAUGAGAGAGAUCUGCUCAGCAGAAAGCAGCAGUAGCCUGGCAGGCAGACUACUUUCCUGGGAGUCCCAGUGUCCAUGCCGGCGUUCCUGGGUUAUGCAGAAACACAGCCUUCCUCAUGCCAGUUCAACAUCCCGAUGACCAGCAGUUUGGCUAGCCCAUGUCAAGCUCUGGGCUUCUGGCCAGCAGCACGAUGAGAGGAGCAGCUAAUUUGACUGGUUCCAGUUGUCACUUCUGGGAGACUCUGAAGAACCUGUCACUUCUUCAGGGGGACACCUGAGCUGCUGCAGAGCUGAAAAAAC
This is an RNA transcript of Grus americana (Whooping crane), 4258 nucleotides long. It is a transcript of the gene named Mab-21 domain containing 2, with no coding region annotated. The record is from RefSeq and is a predicted model, not a curated record. The transcript has 3 exons. NCBI's taxonomy places the organism in Eukaryota, Metazoa, Chordata, Aves, Gruiformes, Gruidae.